UAAUAGCACAUGUGUCUGUGCCCCUGUUUGGAAUCAGCUGCUGGGCCUCCUGCUCCCUCCACCUGCUCACUUUUUGGUGAGAGGGCUCCGAUGGUGUGUCUAGAAGGGGGUUGAAUUCCCUUUCUCCCACCAGCAGAGGGCCCAGUAAGGAUCCAAGAGGAUUAGCAUUCAGAGGAGCGUCUCUUUCUUGGAGAGCCCUAAGGGCUGGUGGUAGGUUAAGUGGGUGGGAGAGUCGGGGGCUACAAUGGACAGUGAAUGAGCAGGGGCUCUGAGACAUUUGGGAAGGAGAAGGGGCCAGGGCAGAGACCAUCACUGCUGCUUGGUAAGAAAACAGGAGACACUGCAGGACCCAAGAAAUUGAGUGUUCUGGACAAAGAACCCCGACUUGAGUUGCACUGCAGCAGGGAUGCAGAAUCAUUCACCCAAUACAGAAAUGCAGCCACCUCUGGGGUGGAAUAUGGCAGCUAUUUAACAAUGCACAGCAACACAAAUCACUGUUCAAGGAAGUGAAGGACAACACUGAAUUCAAUUGAAACGAGUAGGAAUUUAGGAAGGUUAAAUGUGAUUAAUUACCAAAAAUUGAAUUUGGGGCUAACGCCUUCAUUUUGCUGAAAGUGCCAUGGGGUCUUUUAACCUUCCUCCAGGAUUAUGAUCUUGGAUUUCUAUUCCUUUCAAAAGAUGGCACUUCUACUAGAACAAUAUCUCCAUGGCAGGACAUUGUUUCAGUGCUGGCUCUAAGGAGAGGAUGGCUUUCUGAAUCACUCACACCACUUUUUGCAGCAUCUGCAAUUUCUUUAGAAGCUUUUCUGUCAAGUCCUGACCAGGCCUGACCCCAAGUAAUUACUCAGCUGUUACAUGACAUUAGCCCAAGGUGGUGUGGUUGCAAAAUCUCCCCAUCUUUCUGCACUUCAAGGGGUGGGAUGUCCCUGUUCUUCCUCCACUGCGCACAGUAGGGUCUCUUCUACCCAGGUACCAUCUCCACACACAGAAAACAAAUCCCUGAACCUAGUGUCCAGCUAGGCCAAUGACUCUCCCACCAUACCUUCCCCCUCCAUGGAGGAAAAACUCCUCCAGACAGCCCAUAUCAAACCACAACCUGACACACUGCUCCCCCAAGGCUAGACAGUUUCUGACACCUACUCCUCCACUUCAUCCCCAAAACUGGCUACUCCAGCUGCCCCUCCCAUGGAACUGUCUCCCCAACACCAAGCCCCAAUUUGGAUCCAUCUCUGCUAAGUGUCCCCUUCUCUCCGCCUCAGCCUCUUCCCCAACCUGGGGACCCCCAUGAGACCCCAGAGACUCACCUGGCUU
Non-coding RNA from Chrysemys picta bellii (western painted turtle), 1311 nucleotides. The record is from RefSeq and is a predicted model, not a curated record. Lineage: Eukaryota; Metazoa; Chordata; Testudines; Emydidae.